RNAcentral lists this ribosomal RNA (485 nucleotides) under uncultured bacterium. RNAcentral describes it as "bacterial SSU rRNA". It matches the Rfam family "Bacterial small subunit ribosomal RNA", at positions 28 to 526 of the family's 1533-position model. The record is from RNAcentral.
GACGAACGCUGGCGGCGUGCUUAACACAUGCAAGUCGAACGGUGAAGCCCAGCUUGCUGGGUGGAUCAGUGGCGAACGGGUGAGUAACACGUGAGCAACCUGCCCCUGACUCUGGGAUAACUCCGGGAAACCGGGGCUAAUACUGGAUAUGAGGUGCUCCUGCAUGGGGGUGUCUGGAAAGAUUUAUCGGUCAGGGAUGGGCUCGCGGCCUAUCAGCUUGUUGGUGGGGUAGUGGCCUACCAAGGCGACGACGGGUAGCCGGCCUGAGAGGGCGACCGGCCACACUGGGACUGAGACACGGCCCAGACUCCUACGGGAGGCAGCAGUGGGGAAUAUUGCACAAUGGGCGAAAGCCUGAUGCAGCGACGCCGCGUGAGGGAUGAAGGCCUUCGGGUUGUAAACCUCUUUCAGCAGGGAAGAAGCGCAAGUGACGGUACCUGCAGAAGAAGCGCCGGCUAACUACGUGCCAGCAGCCGCCGUAAAAC